RNAcentral lists this ribosomal RNA (51 nucleotides) under Apiospora jatrophae. RNAcentral describes it as "Arthrinium jatrophae partial 28S ribosomal RNA". The record is from RNAcentral. Lineage: Eukaryota; Fungi; Ascomycota; Sordariomycetes; Amphisphaeriales; Apiosporaceae.
UUGACCUCGGAUCAGGUAGGAAUACCCGCUGAACUUAAGCAUAUCAAUAGG